RNAcentral lists this ribosomal RNA (229 nucleotides) under uncultured bacterium. RNAcentral describes it as "partial 16S ribosomal RNA". It matches the Rfam family "Bacterial small subunit ribosomal RNA", at positions 568 to 796 of the family's 1533-position model. The record is from RNAcentral.
UUCGUAGGCGGAUUAAUAAGUCAGUGGUGAAAUCUCUCGGCUCAACCGGGAAACUGCCAUUGAUACUGUUAAUCUUGAGUUCGGUUGAGGUAGGCGGAAUGUGUAAUGUAGCGGUGAAAUGCUUAGAUAUUACACAGAACACCAAUUGCGUAGGCAGCUUACUAGACCGACACUGACGCUGAGGCACGAAAGCGUGGGUAGCGAACAGGAUUAGAUACCCUGGUAGUCC